CGAAGCGUGCGAUUGGAUUGCACGUCUAAGCAGUAAGGCUGAGUAUUAGGCAAAUCCGGUACUCGUUAAGGCUGAGCUGUGAUGGGGAGAAGACAUUGUGUCUUCGAGUCGUUGAUUUCACACUGCCGAGAAAAGCCUCUAGAUAGAAAAUAGGUGCCCGUACCGCAAACCGACACAGGUAGUCAAGAUGAGAAUUCUAAGGUGAGCGAGCGAACUCUCGUUAAGGAACUCGGCAA
Molecule: ribosomal RNA, 236 nt
Filed under: Staphylococcus aureus
Lineage: Bacteria; Bacillati; Bacillota; Bacilli; Caryophanales; Staphylococcaceae
Description: partial 23S ribosomal RNA
Rfam family: Bacterial large subunit ribosomal RNA
Source: RNAcentral